UACAGAGGUCUCAAGCGUUGUUCGGAUUCAUUGGGCGUAAAGGGUGCGUAGGCGGCUGGGCAAGUCUGAUGUGAAAUCCCGGGGCUCAACCCCGGAACUGCACUGGAUACUGCCCUGCUAGAGAUCUGGAGAGGAAACUGGAAUUUACGGUGUAGCAGUGAAAUGCGUAGAUAUCGUAAGGAAGACCAGUGGCGAAGGCGGGUCUCUGGACAGUUCCUGACGCUGAGGCACGAAGGUCAGGGGAGCAAACGGG
Molecule: ribosomal RNA, 253 nt
Filed under: uncultured bacterium
Lineage: Bacteria
Description: partial 16S ribosomal RNA
Rfam family: Bacterial small subunit ribosomal RNA
Source: RNAcentral